UUCAUGAAAAAGUUAGAGCUUUGCUACAGGAUAUGCCCUCUACAAGCCAAGGAAGUAAAAGUAAAGAUUCACAUGUCAUUGGAGUAAAGAACCAUGAUCAGAUCGCCAACUGAGAAGACUUUUGCACAAAAUGAAAUUGUUCAG
This is a long non-coding RNA of Polypterus senegalus (gray bichir), 144 nucleotides long. RefSeq lists it as uncharacterized. The record is from RefSeq and is a predicted model, not a curated record. NCBI's taxonomy places the organism in Eukaryota, Metazoa, Chordata, Cladistia, Polypteriformes, Polypteridae. The transcript is spliced from 3 exons.